UUGAUCCAUUAAUGGCAUACCAAACAUGAAAAGACUGAAGCUUUGCAUCAAAGUGGAACAAUUGCAUCUAAAAAUUUGUUCAUAAAUUUACUUCAGCAUCCCUAUGAGCAUCAUUGUUGAUGGAGGAUCUGCGAAGGCCUCAACGAAAGCCUGGGAAUCUACGUUAUACUAGUAUGCGUGGAUGUCCUGGACCCAGGCAAUGGAAGGGAACAGUCUAGGGGUCCAACAACUGCACGUAUACUCGUGUCGGCUGUCUGUGGUAGGUGUUCCUCUUUGGAGAGUGAGGGAGCUACGAGUCCAUACUGCAGUGCGUGCACGUUCGUAUAUCAUCAUCAAUAACUCACACAAACAGAGACAAGACCAAGCCUAGGUUCCAGAAACAUGGUCCAAAAUGAAGAACAGUGCUCAGGGCUUGGCACUGUGAGGGUGGAGUGGAUUUUUUGACGGGACAAGAAGAAUAAUAGCCAUCGUGGUUUGUACUCUCUAAUGAUCAGUCUUUCCUGCACUCGAUCCAACCUUGCUUGAGUGGUCCCAAGUGAAAAGGUGGAAACAGUUGGCGAAGCCACGAGAGAUUGUCACACACAAAUGCGCAACGCAGAACUGGAACCCGUGAACAGCAACAGUUGGAACGGAUAUUGCCUUUUGAAACAAUCUGAUACACAUUGACAAUCAAUCUCUUUGCAUUAUCAGAAUGAGUCCACAAAAUGGAAAAGUCUUCUUCAAUCAUUUUCUUCAGUACCUGAUUUGGAGCAUAGGGGUCAAUCUAUCUUGGGCCAAUCAUGUAAAGAAGCCCAAGGUUGAAAAGGACGAGCAUGAUCUAAAAUCUACUUUGGAAGACCUUCGUCAUCCAGAAAGAGGCCAUCGACCAGGGGGGUUACCUAUGAUAUCUGACUCUGCAUUUAGUCUCGUAAUUCUACUGUAUGUAUCAAUUGCCUUCGUCUUUGUGUUCUUCAUGUUCUGUUGGAAAAAUGAGAGCAGAAACGCCCGUAAUGGAAAGAAAGGUGAACGACAAUGUGUUUUGAUGACACAUUCGAUGAGUACCGCAAAUUUGGGCCAUGAUGAGCCUCUGCAUUCCCCAAACGUUAUUCCAGCCACACCUACUCGACUUUCACGACUUGACGAUGGCGAUGAAGUUUCUACUGAAACAAGCUACAGCUCGGAUAAAGAAACCUCACCAGUAUAGAUAUCAUCGUUUAUGUUAAGGUUUUGCGGUUCAGCUUGUAUUGAUUCAAAGGUCCAUGUUCAUUUAAUUGCAAGCUAAAUAAAUAAAGUUGACAACGUU
Tigriopus californicus is the source of this 1282-nucleotide long non-coding RNA. RefSeq lists it as uncharacterized. The transcript has 3 exons. NCBI's taxonomy places the organism in Eukaryota, Metazoa, Arthropoda, Copepoda, Harpacticoida, Harpacticidae. The record is from RefSeq and is a predicted model, not a curated record.